GACGAACGCUGGCGGCGUGCCUAACACAUGCAAGUCGAACGGAAAGGCCCUGUUUUUGUGCGGUGCUCGAGUGGCGAACGGGUGAGUAACACGUGAGUAACCUGUCCCUGACUUUGGGAUAACUUCAGGAAACUGGGUCUCUUACCGCAUAGGAGCUCUUGCCGCAUGGUGGGGGUUGGUAAGUUUCGGCGGUUGGGGAUGGACUCGCGGCUUAUCGGCUUGUUGGUGGGGUGGUGGCUUACCAAGGCCUUGACGGGUGGCCGGCCGGGGAGGGAGACCGGCCACAUUGGGUGGGAGAGACAGCCGAGACAGAUACGGGAGGCAGGAGGGAGGAAGAAAGCACAAAGGGCGGGAGACUGAUGGAGCAACGCCGCGUGCGGGAGUACGGCCGUCGGGAUGUAAGCAGCUUUCGCCUGUGACGGAGGGUAAGGACCGUAAAGGGGUAAAAAGGCACGGCUAACUUCGGG
RNAcentral lists this ribosomal RNA (467 nucleotides) under uncultured bacterium. RNAcentral describes it as "partial 16S ribosomal RNA". It matches the Rfam family "Bacterial small subunit ribosomal RNA", at positions 28 to 507 of the family's 1533-position model. The record is from RNAcentral.